This 503-nucleotide ribosomal RNA is filed under the name uncultured bacterium. Its description in RNAcentral is "bacterial SSU rRNA". It matches the Rfam family "Bacterial small subunit ribosomal RNA", at positions 28 to 523 of the family's 1533-position model. The record is from RNAcentral.
GAUGAACGCUAGCGGCAGGCCUAAUACAUGCAAGUCGAGGGGCAGCGCGGUAGCAAUACUGGCGGCGACCGGCGCACGGGUGCGUAACACGUAUGCAACCUACCUUCAACUGGAGGAUAGCCCGGGGAAACUCGGAUUAAUACCCCAUAACACAGGGAUCCCGCAUGGGAAUAUUGUUAAAGCUACGGCGGUUGAAGAUGGGCAUGCGUUCGAUUAGCUAGUUGGUGUAGGUAACGGCUCACCAAGGCUACGAUCGAUAGGGGGUCUGAGAGGAUGAUCCCCCACACUGGUACUGAGAUACGGACCAGACUCCUACGGGAGGCAGCAGUAGGGAAUAUUGGUCAAAUGGGCGCAAGGCCUGAACCAGCCAAUGCCGCGUGCAGGAAGAAGGCCCUCUGGGUUGUAAAACUGCUUUUGAUAGGGACAAAUGCCACUUGCGAGUGGAGCUGAGUGUACCUAUAGAAUAAGCACCGGGCUAAACUCCGUGCCAGCAGCCGCGGUAA